AAUACAUUAGAUAUAGAUGUUACAAGAACUACCUGUGCUGCAAGCACCAGAAGCAUGUAGGAAACAGUACGAUUACAUGCAGUUUGUGAGAUGCUAUCGUCUACAACUGCUGUUUCACCACUGCCUAAUAAUUUGUUAGACCUGAUGAUUGCCCAAUCAGGCUAUUAACUGAGCUGCCUAUACGGAGGAGCCUAAAUAUAAAACGUGGUUCAGAUUUUACUCCUUAUGUGAUGAGGCACUGGCACGGGCUGUCCAGAGAAGCUGUGGAUGCACCAUUCCUGGAGGUGUUCAAGGCUAGGUUGGAUGGGGCCCUGGGCAGCCUGAUCUGGUCUUGCAGUUGGCAACCCAGCCCAUGGCAGGCAUUAGAACUAGACAAUCUUUGAGGUCCCUUCCAACCCAAUCCACUCAAUCCACACAAUCUUUGGCUCUUAUUCUGCAUGCAAAUUUUUGCUUCGAGUCCAUGCUUUUUACUUGAUUUCCCUAGAGAUUUCCCUCUCAAUUAAUCCAAACAUUUCCUCUCCUUCAGUUCCAUCUGGAUAUGGGUUUGCCGGGCAGAAGGAGGUGCUCUUGUAGGAAUCAUCAGGCAAAAGCUGAUGCAAGUGCAUGCAAGGCCUGAUCCCACUCAACCGGAGGCACCAAGCUUUUCUGCUGACUCUGGUGACACUGGCAGCACGCUCACGUGCUGUUUUGUCAUGCCCACACCUCUGCCUCACCUCGCAGACGCCUGAGUCACCGCUCCUUGGUGCUGUGUGGGCCGUGAUUAAUAUUUCCUUCCUGCACCCGUCAUGCAGACUGCGAUUUUCACUCUGGCUUUUUGUUUUCCUCCUUCCCCCCUUCCCUCUCCGUGCUGAGACGGAGAACAAUUCCUGGAAAGGACGGCUUCUUUCCCCCACACUGCACAAACACCGCUCGCGCCGUCAGGGAGGAGAGAGGGGACGUUCGGCAACAUAUGGUCGGGAGGGUUUGGGGGUUUUCAGAUGGUGAAUGACCAACGAGGUUUCAAAGGGGUUUUAUUUAUAAAUGAUAGACUCCUGAGAGAGAAAUAAUGGCUGCUCUCCCAAGCAUAAAAGAAGCAAUUCACCUGACAUAAAACCCGGGGACAAAAUUAGCUAAAUUAAAGCGAGAGAUGGCAACUGUAGUAAGUUUUUUGUUGUUUUUUUUUUUUUUUUCUUUUCCUUCUGAAUGGUGAAUCAUUUUAAUUUUGUUUUCCCCUCCUUCCUUGGAAGGAAGAAAAAAAAAAAAAAGCAAAAGCAAAGUGGCUUGGAUCUGAAAGAACAGAUGGUGCCCUGCUCAGCCCUGCAACGAGCUCUGCAGCGCGCAUUCCUUUACUCUGUCCUCUCAGAUAACUGAGUUAUACAGCACACGACCAUCUGGUGUAUGACACAUCUUGUGUCCCCCAAACAAUGCCCCGGCAAACCUCUUCAGGGGAGAGGUUAGUUUCUAGGGUAACAGCAGCAUGUGCAGCUCCGCGCCUUAUUGAGAUUCAGGCCUCCUCACUUGUCCCCAUUCUUCUCCUUCCUAUUGUUGUCACUUGAGCUUUUGCUGCUUGGUUACUCAGAGACUGACAAUAUCCAUGAGUAUUUUGUCCCCAGCCCCAAAACCAUUGUCUCCAAAUUUUGUUUCAUUAUUUAUGUUUUCAAUAUCCAAUGGUUGGCUGAAGCAUCUGCUGUAGAGUGAUAAGGCAAGUGCCUAUUUAGGAGGGCUGUGCUGCUGCCUGACAACAAUGCUUUGAAUUAUUCAGGUUGUGGUUGGACAAGUCUUUGCAAAAGCCAGGAUAUCCAUGAAGCACUGAGGUGACUUUAUUUAUUUGCCUGCUUCUUUUUUUUUUUUUAGGUGCUUGCAUCCUUUAAGCUGGACAAAAAAAGACAGGCAAUUUCUGGAGGAAGUAGGUCUGCUUGUUACAAGUCUCACGAUUUUUCCUUGCUAGAAACAAUUUGAAAAGAAAACGUUGGCUUUGCUUUUCUAUUGGUUUUCUAUGGGGUGGGUUGUUCCAAAGUGAUGUUUUUUGAGCACUGAUUAUCUCUUAUCAAAGUAUAGCCAAAGUCUGGGCUAUAACCCAAGCACAGGGACUGUGCAUCAUACUCUGAAAUUCUGUUGUAGAACCGUAACUCGGAUGGUUUCAUCAGCAAGCAGAAGUAGUAGAUGAAUGUCUUCACCACCAACACUACGCAUAUGCCCACAGAAUCCUUUACCCCGACACAGAACAGUCCUACCAGUGGUGUUAGUGUCCUCAAAUAGUUGUAAUUGACAUAGAUUGCCACAACAUUCAUUCUGUAACACAACAUAGACCCACAACAUUCAUUCUAUAUCUGCAUGGCAUAGAACCUUCAUUCAGAGGAGUUGAAAAUAUGUUUAGAAACCUACCACAUCAAGCAUGAAGUUUUACGAAGCAUUAAAACCUAAAAUUAAGAAAAUACUGGUGGCCUUUAAGCACAAAUGUGCUGAACUUCGAGCUCAACUGCUUCCAUAAGUCAAGGUAUAGAUAACUUUUAUAAGAUACUGCAUCCUGUCUCUCAGGUGAAGGUCAGGUAUUAUAAAACUACCAAUAACAGUUACGAGAGAUUCUGUAUUCAUGCAUUAAAUAACAGCAGCAUACAUACAUUCAAGAAAUGUGUAGCUUUGGCACUGAGGAACUUGGUUUAGUGGGCAUGGUGGGGAUGGUUGGACUUGAUGGUCUUGGAGGUCUUUUCCAACCUUAAUGAUCCCAUGAUUCUAUGACAUCUAUCUGAAUAUUGUGAUACAUUUGUUGUAGUGUCAAAUCUGAUUCAUUAUUUUUGCUCAUUUAUAACAUUCUAUGGAUGAUACUUCUGAACACUUACACUAUUUAUGUAUAUAUAUAUACGUACACAUAUAUAUGUAUAUAUUUGACCAAGAGGCAAUUUUAAAAAAGAUUUGCCUAAAAUAUUUCAGAUCCACUAUUAGGAUAAGAAGAAAUGAGGUGUAUGGUUCUCUCAAAUCAAAACCACCCUCAAUACCUUGCUUGGUAGACCUUAGAGUUGGUGGCAGAUCACUGUGAGCAGUAAUGCCGAGCCAGAAGACUCGUUUAAAAAUAUUCUGUUUUUAAGAAUGUUUUAAAAUAUGCUAAUUAAGCUAAGGUUUGAUUGGCAGCACGUUUUGCCCUCAGUCUGCUUGCUAAGUGUUCCCUUACAGGAGUGGUAUAUUCUUCCAUAUCAGGGGUUUCUCUGUCCAAUCUAGCAAAGCAAAAGAUUAAGGUUGCUCUCUCCAUGAGUAUAUAUGGGAAUAAGUGCUGUUUCACCCUAAGAACAAUGCUACCACAGGACAGGUACAUAUAUCAUCCAUGAGUACAUUUGUGAAGGUUUCUAAACACCAGAGAAGAGGAAUUCUGCAAUAUCACCCUGGUGUGAAUGUCACGUUGUCACCUGGUUCAUUUGUGAUUGCUUGCAAAGGCAGGGAACUGGUCUGUUUGACUCAAGACUUUCUGCUGCUCCUGCAUUUCAUGGGCUUUAAGAGCAGAAGAGCUCACCAGACAUCUGGCUGGAGCUCUGCUCAGGCCACAGACCUCACCCAGUUCCUUUCUCCUGAGGUAAGCAACUUUAUUUAAGCAUUAUCUUGAGCAUUGUUCAGUCUUGGUGUAGUAACACAACAAUCCAUUCCUUGCCCUGAGGUUAUUACAGCCUUAAUUCCUCCACUAUUAAAAUGGACAACUAUUCUUUCAGGGCAUGAACUUGUUCACCAGUAUCUUUGAUUCUUAUUUGGUUUUUCAUCAGCAAAUUGUAAAUUCUUCUGGUGUAGGAAAUGAUCUUGCUAUAACCUAGACUGCAAUAAGCCUGGUCUGUGAGAGAAAUACAUGAACGAAUCAAGAGAAGUUUUAGCUUUCAGUCAUUCCUUCUAUUCUGUACCUCCUUCUGAUUCUUUACCUCAGUAUCUUCAAAGCUUGUUCGAAAACAAUUGAUGUGCCUCCAUGCCACACUGCAGCAGAAUCAUACAUUGUACUGCAAGGAAGGCCCUGCUUUCUUCUUCAUUUUAAUGAGCACUGGCCAGGCUGGCAUGAUUCUUACCGCUUCCAGCCAAGUGAGAGCAAGUAGGAGAGGAGUUAUAAGGCUAAGUGUGAGGGGUCUCAACAAAGCACAGUAUUCUCCUAUUUAUAGGAAAUAUAUCAGUGGCGUGGACCAAUCAGCCAGCCCUGUGGAGUGCUGAGAAGUACAUGAGUUUGGAGCAAGUCCUCUUCAAUAAGUAGACAACUCCUUUGGCCAUGAGGUUACAGAAGCUGAAGAUCUCUGAGGGAAGAAGUAACAUGUACCCUGGAUAGCUUCUUCCCCAUUUUAUGGAGAGGAAGGUUAUAGCACAGAGGACGAAGCUUAGCUCACUGACAUGAAGAAGCAAUGACUUUGCUAGAUUUGUACCAAGAUCUCCCUGCAUGGCACAAGGUCCAUGCUGGAUUGCAGCACUAUGCCUUUGUCCAGACCUCCAAGAGCCAAAUUAAGCCAACCAGUCAUUCACAGCAUCUGUUCCUGCUGAAAGCACAGCAAAUAGCUUCUCAGCAGAGAUUUCUCUUUGGGAAGGAUCACUGAGCAGCCAGAAAGACAAAUUAAAUUAGGAAGCACAAAGCAGAAGGCCAUGAGUAGAAGGGAAAAGGAUAUACUGACAUUCACGUGUGAAUCAGAUCACGCGCAAAGAAGUCAAGUGUGCUUGUUUUUUCAGAAAUGUCUGAAUAUUUUUAUACUUUAAGAAGAAAAAAACGAUGGCACAGUCUGUUUAGAGGCAAUGGGAAGGAAAAAGCAAAACAAAACAAGUGGGGCCAUGAGACAUGGUGCGAUUUGCAUCUAAAUACGUUUUAGCUAGAAGAACAUGUUCAGAGGAAAGCACAGCAUUGCCAGUUCACGAGACUAACUUUCUGAUAUCUUUGUGGGAACCAAAUGAAUUGCAAAACAUCUGCAAGGUCCAAAGUGUCAAUUAUGCCUUUAUGUAGAUGGAGGAAAUGUCACAUGAUUGAGGCAGUCAUUGGACAUGGUCAAUUGUAUGUUUUUAUCCUCUGCUUAGCCUUAAAGCCUCACUCAACAGUCCCCUCAGACAAAGGCACUGUCAGAGAGGGAGAUGGAUCAGUUGGCCACUCACAGGAGUCGCUUAUCAGCACAGAAAGUGUCCCUGGCCUCGAACAACUCUGACAUUCUCUUUGCAUACCCUGCUUCAGUGGUGCAGCUACAAGUCCUCCUUGAGAGCCUGGCAGCGAAACGUAGCUAGGCAAACAACCCAACACAAAGCUCAGAUUUGGAAAAGGAACCACGCAAACAAGCAGAUUGCAGACACUUCUCUUAAACCAUACCUGUGUUUCUCCGUCAGGUUUCUGCUCCAGCUCGCAAGUGACAAGUUUUUUUAAACAUGCCAACUGCCCAGAAGCAUCUCACAGGAACGUGUAAAAUGAAGUCAUGCAUCAUUCAGGGAUCGCAGGAGCUGCCAAACAGAAUGGUUUUGAAAGGCCCAUAUGCAUAGCAGCCAAUGCCAAAUAUCUUCACUUUAAUGGCUCACGUGUUACAGUUUAUACUGAGCACUUCAGCAAGUCCCAGCAAUAUUCUUUCUGGAUUUGAAAACUUGCAUUACUUCUCAAGGAAACUUUUAAACCCAGCAACAUUUGUACUGAACAAUUUGUGCGUGUUUUACUGCAGUCAACAUUUGCAGCCAACAGCAUCUCUACACUGUAAAACUGCACCGAAACACCACUGGCACUGCUUCCAGCUGGUGGGAUGGUGCAGCUCCCUUCAUAUCAAGGGAGCUUGAAUGGGGCUUGUGGUCAUUAACAUAGUUAAUUGUCAUGCUAUUCCAUCACCAUGGAUGCUCAUCUAAAAUCUGACACCCACGUAGCCCUGGCUGAACAUAUCUGGAUCCAUUAAGUGGGUGUCCACCAGAUGAGAUGCAACCUGGGUAAGGCAACGACCCACAAACAACAAAGCGCACAAAAGAAAGUCCAGGAAGCCCUCUGCAGAGCUCACAACCAACUUGUCACAGUGUCAACAGGCCCUGAAUGCAACAUGCCCAAAAAAACCAGCAGCUGAUGUGGAUGCACAGCCAAGGUAGGACACUCGCAUCAACCAGGCCUCGUAGCAGUGGAGGGAGAAAUGUGGGUUGCUGCCAUAGGGCUGAGCACUCCAAGCAGGAGGCAAGCGAGCAGAAUGCACAAUGUGUCUGCAAUUGCUUUGGGAAGCAUGCAGCCAAAACUGUAAUCUGUGCUACACACAAGAGAUAAAAUCUGUUCUGAAUCGUGGAAGCCCUCACGUUGUUUUAAUGAGAUUUCUGUGUAUUUAUAUGUACACACAACUGCUGUCCUCCCCCUGCCCGCUGCGUGCCUGCUCCCACUGCUGGCCUGCAAAGCAUGUCCUGCCUUGGAAAUAGAGUUUACACACGCACAUGACUCCCAAAAUUAACACGUUGCUCUGGUUGUGGCGUCACAACAGAGUAACCUAUCCACCUAAACACAACAACAGCACAAGGGAUGGGAUUGCUCUGUGUGAGCUGCCUGGCAUCCAAAACGAAGGUAUGUAUUUAAAGGCAUCGGAUAAGCCUACCCGUGCAGGUAUUCCAGGAAAGGAUGAAGUGUGUCUCACGAUUCCAGGAACGGAAGGCAGUUUGUAAAUCACGUGCACUGUGAGAUAAACCCCAGACAGCCCUGCAGUGCGGCGUAGAUUUGGAUGGCUUACGUCAGGCGCGUUUUGUAGCAGAGCACGGGGCAGCCUCGUUCCAGCAGAACAGCACUUGAAGAGAUGAUUCCUGGAAAGUGCUUUCCAUCUGAAUUUUUGGGCAGUGGUUUCCUUGUGCCAGCAAAGCCUGUGUAAGUCAGGGCUCUGUGAAAGAGAACAUUUAAUACAGUGCAAAGCCCAGCAGCCGAGGAGAGAUCGGGAAAUCAGCAGAUCUGGUGAAUGAAUCAGGCUCAGCCCACAAAAAUCUCACUGCAGGAAAGCAGCCAUUGCCAGGAGGGGUCAGGCUGUUGUUCUCCAUCCACUGCCACUGAAGCAAACAGCAGCACAUAGUUGAGUAGAAAAGAAACCUAACUGGAGCAUAAGCCAUUGGUUAUAAUGUCUUGAUUCUGUGCUUGUUUUGUAUGUUUGUAAGACCUGUCUGUAUACAGAACUUAAAAGCAUCCAGUCCUGUGGUCCAUGAAGACAUGAACUGUCUGUAAUGAGCUUAUCUAGAAGGCUGGGUCCCACUUAUGAAAUCUGUUACCUUUUACCAAGUAUAUGAGGGAACAGCAGACAUUGGGACUAUUCAGAUGGCAGUUUCCUGAUCCUCUGCACUUACUUCAAGGGUAAUGGUGGCAAUUCCAGCCUUAUCCCACCUGAAAGGUCAGGAUGGAAAGCUGCUGAAUGCAUGGUUGUAAACAGCUGUUUUCUCUUCAUCUGCCUUGUGCAUCCUCUGGAAGAGAACCACAGAAUCAUAGAAUGGUUUGUGUUGGAAGGUUCCCUUAAAGGCCAUCUGGUACAAUUCCCUGCAAUGAACAGGGAUACCUACACUACAUGGGUGCUCAGAGCCCCAUCCUGUCUGAUCUUGAACGUCUCCAGGGAUGGGGCAUCCACCACGUCUCUGGGCAGCCUGUUCCAAGGAACAGACAUUUGCUGGUCACAGAUAAAAUAAAAAGGUGUUUUCUGUUGUCAUCGUUGUCAUGAGUAUUCACCAAGAUUGAGUAUGUGCAUGGUUCCCUACUCAACUGCUGCUAAAGUAAUGAAAGUCUUGUACCUGAAUUCGGGAGGAGUUCAGCUAGGCUUGGUGCUCUUCUGGUGGCAAAUAUUAUAGGAUUAAUCCUAGAAUCACAGAAUCAUUAAGGUUGGAAAAUACCACUAAGAUCACCAACUCUAACCCCAGCCCACUCCCACCAUGCCCACCAACCACAUCCCUCAGUGCCACAUCUCCACAGUUCUUGAACAUCUCCAAGUACAAUGAUUCCACCAGCUGCCUGGGCAGCCUGUGCCAGUGGAUCACCAGUCUUUCUGAGAAGAGAUUUUUCUUAAUAGCCAACAUGAACCUUCCCUGGCAUAGGCUAAAGCCAUGUGAUUGACUUCAGCUCGCAGCCUGUGCCCUUGGAAGAUUCAGAACUCUCACUGAUGUGUCAUGGCAGCAAUCAAAGCAGGGCAGCAGUGAAUAAUGGUCCCCAGCUGUACUCCCUGACCCCCACCCUCACCACAGUGGGGGUGGGGUGGUAUUGUUUUAAACUUUCUCUAUUUCCCUAUAUGGAAUUUACAAACCAGCUCAUUGGCUUUUCUCAGAAUUUCAGCUCCUUCUCCUUAGUUUAAACAUUCCUCCCAUCCCUUUCUUUUCCCCUCUUGCCAACUUGGUGUUCUGUAUUUUUCAUUAUCUCCUUCUUUUACUAAAUCCUUAUCUUAAAAAUAGUGCAUUUGAUUGUGUGCAAUAGUAAAUUUUGCUCCUGGAAUAACUCUGCCACCUCGCUUUGGCCAAAUUACAUGUACAUCAACUCCUACUAAACCCAUCUAACACGACACUCGUGGUAUUUAAAAUCUGGCUAAAACCAAAAUCUAAAUGCUUUAAUUUUACUACCACUUCCUGGCUUUUGUGGUGGGGAAAAGAAAAAAAAAAAAAAAAAAAAAAAAAAAAAAAGCAUUAUAUUCAUUUUAAAAUCACUUCAGGUGUUUUCUUUGCUCAUCAAAGAAAAACCAUCAAGGUUAUUCAUUGUGUUCUCUUUGUUAUCACUAGAGGUUUAAACAUGCCAUGUAAGUAAUCCGUGGCCAAUUAAAACACUCAUUUCUGUUAUAAUUGCAGCAGUCAGGUUUGGAGGCGUUUGGGAUGGGUGGAACAGGUGGGACAAUGGCACAGGGUGAGAUUUGUUGCUUUAUUCUUGUAUGAAAUGAAUACAGAUGUGGCUAAUUCCAAUUCAUGUUCUCCUUCUUCAGAGUCUGCCAGCAGCUGGGGCUCACUCAAGACACAAAAUGGACAGUACUGACAGCAGGGACUGGUAGUGGCCAGGAUGCAGGAGUGGGCAUCAAGGAGAGCAUGCCCCUUCCCAGCCAGUUCCUCCCAUGUUACCUAACUCAGGCAUUCCUUUGCACUCCCUGGCCAUGCCCUUCGCUCUUCUCUCCCUCAAGACUUGGCCUUCCAUUGAAGGAUCACAGCAAACCGCAGAACCUCAGCACAAGGCACAGUCUCAGCAUCAGCUACAGGAGGAGCACGCACUCAACCCAAGGCACAGCCACAGCAAGGGCUGGGCACUGUGCUGCCCGUGGCGAAGAGUGCAGCAUAGAAAGGACCCAGGAACGAGGGAGGCUAAAGUAGUACAGAGCCUUGCUUGGGUGUGUGGGGCCAUCUGCCACCGCAGAAGUACAAUGCCGGAUUCUUGAAAUGUAAAAAUAGAUCUCAAAAGCGACAUGUUUUAAUGAACUGAGCACAAAGGAACAUGGGCGAAAUAAACUGAAAACAGAA
This is a long non-coding RNA of Tympanuchus pallidicinctus (lesser prairie-chicken), 9381 nucleotides long. RefSeq lists it as uncharacterized. The record is from RefSeq and is a predicted model, not a curated record. The transcript has 2 exons. NCBI's taxonomy places the organism in Eukaryota, Metazoa, Chordata, Aves, Galliformes, Phasianidae.